AGCAGCGGGCUCGUGGAAUCUGCUGUGAAUCUGCCGGGACCACCCGGUAAGCCUGAAUACUUCCUGGUGACCGAUAGCGGACAAGUACCGUGAGGGAAAGGUGAAAGUACCCCGGGAGGGGAGUGAAAUAGUACCUGAAACCGGACGCUUACAAUCCGUCAAAGCCUGUGCACAGUUUACUGUGGCGGGUGAUGGCGUGCCUUUUGAAGAAUGAGCCUGCGAGUUAGUGCUCGGUGGCGAGGUUAACCCGUGUGGGGGGGGUAGCCGUAGCGAAAGCGAGUCUGAAUAGGGCGUUUUGAGUCGCCGGGUCUAGACCCGAAGCGGAGUGAUCUACCCAUGGCCAGGGUGAAGCGUCGGUAAGACGUCGUGGAGGCCCGAACCCACUUCAGUUGAAAAUGGAGGGGAUGAGUUGUGGGUAGGGGUGAAAGGCCAAUCAAACUCCGUGAUAGCUGGUUCUCCCCGAAAUGCAUUUAGGUGCAGCGUCACAUGUUUCUUACUGGAGGUAGAGCUACUGGAUGGCCGAUGGGCCCCACAGGGUUACUGACGUCAGCCAAACUCCGAAUGCCGGUAAGUGAGAGUGUGGCAGUGAGACUGCGGGCGAUAAGGUUCGUAGUCGAGAGGGAAACAGCCCAGAUCGCCGGCUAAGGCCCCUAAGCGUGUACUAAGUGGAAAAGGAUGUGGGGUCGCGAAGACAACCAGGAGGUUGGCUUAGAAGCAGCCACCCUUGAAAGAGUGCGUAAUAGCUCACUGGUCAAGUGAUCCUGCGCCGACAAUGUAGCGGGGCUCAAGUACACCGCCGAAGCCGCGGCACUCACAUAUAGCCCGUCGAUCUUCUAUGGAGGGUCGGCCAGGUGUGUGGGUGGGUAGGGGAGCGUCCUGCAUCCGUGGAAGCGCCGGAGUGAUCCAGGUGUGGAGGGUGUGGGAGUGAGAAUGCAGGCAUGAGUAGCGAAAGCAGAGUGAGAAACUCUGCCGCCGAAUGACCAAGGGUUCCUGGGCCAGGCUAAUCCGCCCAGGGUGAGUCGGGACCUAAGGCGAGGCCGACAGGCGUAGUCGAUGGACAACGGGUUGAUAUUCCCGUACCCGUGUAUCCGCGCCCAUGCUGAAUCAGUUGUACUAACCAUCCUGAUCCCCCCCGGGAGCACCUUCGGGUGCCGAGUUGGGGUGAUGCAUGGGACCUUGGCUGGUAGUAGGCAAGCGAUGGGGUGACGCAGGAAGGUAGUGGGGCCAGUCAGUGGUUGUACUGGUGUAAGCCUGUAGGGCGAGUGAUAGGCAAAUCCGUCACUCAUACAGCCUGAGAGGUGAUGCGUAGCCGUUGAGGUGAAUUCCAUGAUCCUAUGCUGCCGAGAAAAGCCUCUAGUGAGUUGGUACACGGCCCGUACCCCAAACCAACACAGGUGGUCAGGUAGAGAAUACUAAGGCGAUCGAGAGAACUGUGGUUAAGGAACUCGGCAAAAUGCCCCCGUAACUUCGGGAGAAGGGGGACCCAUCCUGGUGACGGCAUGUACUGCUUGAGCUGGUGUGGGUCGCAGAGACCAGAGAGAAGCGACUGUUUACUAAAAACACAGGUCCGUGCGAAGUCGUAAGACGAUGUAUACGGACUGACGCCUGCCCGGUGCUGGAAGGUUAAGAGGACCGGUUAGUCACUUCGGUGGCGAAGCUGAGAAUUUAAGCCCCAGUAAACGGCGGUGGUAACUAUAACCAUCCUAAGGUAGCGAAAUUCCUUGUCGGGUAAGUUCCGACCUGCACGAAUGGCGUAACGACUUCUCUGCUGUCUCAACCACAGACUCGGCGAAAUUGCAGUACGAGUAAAGAUGCUCGUUACGCGCGGCAGGACGAAAAGACCCCGGGACCUUCACUAUAGCUUGGUAUUGGUGUUCGGUUCGGUUUGUGUAGGAUAGGUGGGAGACUGUGAAGUGGGCACGCCAGUGUUCAUGGAGUCGUUGUUGAAAUACCACUCUGAUCGUAUUGGACUUCUAACCUCGGACCCUGAUCGGGUUCAGGGACAGUGCCUGGUGGGUAGUUUAACUGGGGCGGUUGCCUCCUAAAAGGUAACGGAGGCGCCCAAAGGUUCCCUCAGCCUGGUUGGCAAUCAGGUGUUGAGUGUAAGUGCACAAGGGAGCUUGACUGUGAGACGUACAUGUCGAGCAGGGACG
RNAcentral lists this ribosomal RNA (2153 nucleotides) under Gordonia sp. LAM0048. RNAcentral's name for it is "bacterial LSU rRNA". It matches the Rfam family "Bacterial large subunit ribosomal RNA", at positions 414 to 2401 of the family's 2925-position model. The record is from RNAcentral. Lineage: Bacteria; Bacillati; Actinomycetota; Actinomycetes; Mycobacteriales; Gordoniaceae.